CCUACGGGAGGCAGCAGUGGGGAAUAUUGCACAAUGGGGGAAACCCUGAUGCAGCGACGCCGCGUGAGUGAAGAAGUAAUUCGUUAUGUAAAGCUCUAUCAGCAGGGAAGAAAAUGACGGUACCUGAGUAAGAAGCCCCGGCUAACUACGUGCCAGCAGCCGCGGUAAUACGUAGGGGGCAAGCGUUAUCCGGAUGUACUGGGUGUAACGGGAGCGUAGACGGCAGUGCAAGUCUGGAGUGAAAGGCGGGGGCUCAACCCCCGGACUGCUCUGGAAACUGUACGGCUGGAGUGCAGGAGAGGUAAGUGGAAUUCCUAGUGUAGCGGUGAAAUGCGUAGAUAUUAGGAGGAACACCAGUGGCGAAGGCGGCUUACUGGACUGUAACUGACGUUGAGGCUCGAAAGCGUGGGGAGCAAACAGGAUUAGAUACCCCAGUAGUC
RNAcentral lists this ribosomal RNA (440 nucleotides) under uncultured bacterium. Its description in RNAcentral is "partial 16S ribosomal RNA". It matches the Rfam family "Bacterial small subunit ribosomal RNA", at positions 338 to 795 of the family's 1533-position model. The record is from RNAcentral.